This 468-nucleotide ribosomal RNA is filed under the name uncultured bacterium. Its description in RNAcentral is "partial 16S ribosomal RNA". It matches the Rfam family "Bacterial small subunit ribosomal RNA", at positions 28 to 507 of the family's 1533-position model. The record is from RNAcentral.
GACGAACGCUGGCGGCGUGCUUAACACAUGCAAGUCGAACGGAAAGGCCCUGCUUUUGUGGGGUGCUCGAGUGGCGAACGGGUGAGUAACACGUGAGUAACCUGCCCUUGACUUUGGGAUAACUUCAGGAAACUGGGGCUAAUACCGGAUAGGAGCUCCUGCUGCAUGGUGGGGGUUGGAAAGUUUCGGCGGUUGGGGAUGGACUCGCGGCUUAUCAGCUUGUUGGUGGGGUAGUGGCUUACCAAGGCUUUGACGGGUAGCCGGCCUGAGAGGGUGACCGGCGACAAUGGGACUGAGAGACGGCCCAGAAUGCUACGGGAGGCAGCAGGGGGGAACAUUGCACAAUGGGCGGAAGCCUGAUGCAGCAACGCCGCGUGCGGGAUGACGGCCUUCGGGUGGUAAACCGCUUUCGCCUGUGACGAAGCGGGAGUGACGGUAAUGGGUAAAGAAGCACCGGCUAACUACGUG